GCCGUAGCUCAGUGGUAGAGCACCUGCUGUGCAUGCAGAAGGUCCCAGGUUCAAUCCCAUUAGAUCCCUGGAGAGCUGCU
Molecule: non-coding RNA, 80 nt
Organism: Podarcis lilfordi (Lilford's wall lizard)
Lineage: Eukaryota; Metazoa; Chordata; Lepidosauria; Squamata; Lacertidae
Source: the annotation of a GenBank genome assembly